RNAcentral lists this ribosomal RNA (548 nucleotides) under uncultured bacterium. RNAcentral describes it as "bacterial SSU rRNA". It matches the Rfam family "Bacterial small subunit ribosomal RNA", at positions 355 to 896 of the family's 1533-position model. The record is from RNAcentral.
UAGGGAAUCUUCCGCAAUGGGCGAAAGCCUGACGGAGCAACGCCGCGUGAGUGAAGAAGGAUUUCGGUUCGUAAAGCUCUGUUGUUAGGGAAGAAUGAUUGUGUAGUAACUAUACACAGUAGAGACGGUACCUAACCAGAAAGCCACGGCUAACUACGUGCCAGCAGCCGCGGUAAUACGUAGGUCCCGAGCGUUGUCCGGAUUUAUUGGGCGUAAAGCGAGCGCAGGCGGUUAGAUAAGUCUGAAGUUAAAGGCUGUGGCUUAACCAUAGUACGCUUUGGAAACUGUUUAACUUGAGUGCAAGAGGGGAGAGUGGAAUUCCAUGUGUAGCGGUGAAAUGCGUAGAUAUAUGGAGGAACACCGGUGGCGAAAGCGGCUCUCUGGCUUGUAACUGACGCUGAGGCUCGAAAGCGUGGGGAGCAAACAGGAUUAGAUACCCUGGUAGUCCACGCCGUAACGAUGAGUGCUAGGUGUUAGACCCUUUCCGGGGUUUAGUGCCGUAGCUAACGCAUUAAGCACUCCGCCUGGGGAGUACGACCGCAAGGUUG